AACGAACGCUGGCGGCAGGCCUAACACAUGCAAGUCGAACGCUCCGCAAGGGGAGUGGCGCACGGGUGAGUAACACGUGGGAACCUACCUUCUGGUACGGAACAACCAAGGGAAACUUUGGCUAAGACCGUAUACGACCUCCGGGUGAAAGAUUGAUCGCCGGAAGAGGGGCCCGCGUCCGAUUAGGUAGUUGGUGAGGUAACGGCUCACCAAGCCUUCGAUCGGUAGCUGGUCUGAGAGGAUGACCAGCCACACUGGGACUGAGACACGGCCCAGACUCCUACGGGAGGCAGCAGUGGGGAAUAUUGGACAAUGGGCGCAAGCCUGAUCCAGCCAUGCCGCGUGAGUGAAUGAAGGCCUU
RNAcentral lists this ribosomal RNA (361 nucleotides) under uncultured bacterium. RNAcentral describes it as "bacterial SSU rRNA". It matches the Rfam family "Bacterial small subunit ribosomal RNA", at positions 29 to 418 of the family's 1533-position model. The record is from RNAcentral.